CCCUGUUUAUCAUCCCAACCAUUGAGGAGGAGUCAAUGCAAAACUGACCUCUUCCAUCACUACUUAUCUUACUGCAGAGUGGAGGAGAGGAUUAAAGCUCUGACUAGAUUGAUGAACAGAGACACAUCAUAACUACUAAUAGUUCAUCAUGACGUUUACUAUUGUGGUUCUUCUGAUGACAAUGGGCUUGAAAGAUGUUCAUGGUCAGACACUGACUGAGUCUGGACCAGUUGUAAAAAUAACUGGAGAAACACACAAAGUGACCUGUACAGCUUCUGGGUUCACAUUCAGUAGCUACUGGAUGGCUUGGAUCAGACAGGUUCCUGGGAAAGGACUUGAAUGGAUUGCCAUUAUAAGAUAUGAUAGUGCUGAAAUCUACUACUCCCAGUCUGUUCAGGGUCGGUUCACCAUCUCCAGAGACAACAGUAAGCAGCAGGUGUAUCUCCAGAUGAACAGCCUGAACACUGAAGACUCUGCUGUUUAUUAUUGUGCCAGAGACACAGUGACACAGGAGGCUGCUGCGCUGUAUAAAAACUGGACAACACUGAUCUCAAUAUUGGAAGCAAUGAGAUGAGUCUGUGCUCCACUC
Molecule: non-coding RNA, 589 nt
Organism: Oncorhynchus tshawytscha (Chinook salmon)
Lineage: Eukaryota; Metazoa; Chordata; Actinopteri; Salmoniformes; Salmonidae
Source: the annotation of a RefSeq genome assembly